ACCAAAGAGAGAAGAAGAAAAAUAUAGGCAAAGACCAAAGAGAGAAGACGAGAAAGAUGCAAAAACAGAGACAAGGGAAAUGAAGAAAUGGUCAGAAAAAAAGGGAGAGCAGAAGGAAGUCAGUGAAAGAAAAAAGUAACACAAGACAGAAGUCCAAAAACAACAUGUAGCAGCAAGCAGAUCCAUAUAGAAGAUACUAUCAGAACAACCAAGAUACAACUCCAGAUGUCUAUACAUCAUUGCUGUGUGAAGACUGCUGAAGAGAAGUAACAAGUAGGGCUUU
This is a long non-coding RNA of Carassius auratus (goldfish), 283 nucleotides long. RefSeq lists it as uncharacterized. The record is from RefSeq and is a predicted model, not a curated record. The transcript has 3 exons. NCBI's taxonomy places the organism in Eukaryota, Metazoa, Chordata, Actinopteri, Cypriniformes, Cyprinidae.